CAGCAAAGGUUACACAAAUCCAGUAAGCACUGCACAAGAAAAGUAGUGAGUACGAAAGAUUGGCUCAUCCUUCGGAUGUCCAAGGAUAAGAGCACUGGUUAAGUAACCAAUUUGUCAUGUCACAUGAGCUGCUGAAUGAGGAAGUGAUACUGCAUCAGCGCAUUGAAAAGCAAGUGAUUUUAACUUCAAAAGUAAUUGAGAAAUGAAGUAGCUUAAAGCUAUGAAAAUCUCUUCCGUGAGCAAGGACUGCUAAAGAAACUGCCAGUUAAGACUACUGAUGGAAUAAAUGCAGCAGAGGAAGUAGAUUGCA
This 310-nucleotide long non-coding RNA is filed under the name Phasianus colchicus (ring-necked pheasant). RNAcentral's name for it is "lncRNA (ENSPCLG00000000133.1)". The record is from RNAcentral. Lineage: Eukaryota; Metazoa; Chordata; Aves; Galliformes; Phasianidae.